RNAcentral lists this ribosomal RNA (438 nucleotides) under uncultured bacterium. RNAcentral describes it as "partial 16S ribosomal RNA". It matches the Rfam family "Bacterial small subunit ribosomal RNA", at positions 339 to 795 of the family's 1533-position model. The record is from RNAcentral.
CUACGGGCUGCUCCAGUGAGGAAUGUUGCACAAUGGGGGGAACCCUGAUGCAGCAACGCCGCGUGGAGGAUGACGCAUUUCGGUGUGUAAACUCCUUUUAUAUGUCAAGAAAAUGACGGUAGCAUAUGAAUAAGCACCGGCUAACUCCGUGCCAGCAGCCGCGGUAAUACGGAGGGGCAAGCGUUACUCGGAAUCACUGGGCGUAAAGGACGCGUAGGCGGGUUGGAAAGUCAGGUGUGAAAUCCUACAGCUUAACUGUAGAACUGCACUUGAAACUUCUAAUCUAGAGUAUGGGAGGGGGAGAUGGAAUUAGUGGUGUAGGGGCAAAAUCCGUAGAUAUCACUAGGAAUACCUAAAGCGAAGGCGAUCUCCUGGAACAUUACUGACGCUAAGGCGUGAAAGCGUGGGGAGCAAACAGGAUUAGAUACCCGUGUAGUC